This 507-nucleotide ribosomal RNA is filed under the name uncultured bacterium. RNAcentral describes it as "bacterial SSU rRNA". It matches the Rfam family "Bacterial small subunit ribosomal RNA", at positions 791 to 1301 of the family's 1533-position model. The record is from RNAcentral.
UAGUCCACGCCCUAAACGAUGCUUACUGGAUGUUUGGAUUUAUUUGAGCAUCUGAGGGAAACCAUUAAGUAAGCCACCUGGGGAGUACGGUUCGCAAGAAUGAAACUCAAAGGAAUUGACGGGGGUUCCGCGACAAGCGGUGGAGCAUGUGGUUUAAUUCGAUGAUACGCGAGGAACCUUACCAGGGCUUAAAUGUAAGUUGCAUGAUCUAGAGAUAGGUCUUUCUUCGGACCACUUACAAGGUGCUGCAUGGUUGUCGUCAGCUCGUGCCGUGAGGUGUCAGGUUAAGUCCUAUAACGAGCGCAACCCCUGUUGUUAGUUGCCAGCAUGUAAAGAUGGGAACUCUAACAAGACUGCCGGUGCAAACCGCGAGGAAGGUGGGGAUGGACGUCAAAUCAAUCACGGCCCUUACGUCCUGGGCUACGACACGUGCUACAAUGGUAGGGACAGAGAGCAGCCACACUGCGAGGUGGAGCGAAUCUAUAACCCUAUCUCAGUUCGGAUCGG